AAAGAAAGAAAGAAAUAAACGCAAGCUCUUUUAAAGUAGAAGUUACUUCAGAGCAAUAAUAAAUAAAUCAGUUUUACAACUGCUUGAUUGGGGCAUCCCUGGCCGAACGGUAUCACUCGCCAAACUCUGUGUGAAGCUUGAAGGAUGCGGGCUCGAAUCUCGCUGUUACCCUGGGUGUAUCUUCGUGCUGCCCUUCUCUGCAUUGUGCUGUAUGUCAUUCUAUUUGAGAAAGGUUUCUAAGCCUUAAUUGAGCACACAUGCCUUUAAAUGUAUGUAAUUUCAAUAAGCCGAUAAACUGUUUAUUUUCGUCAAUGGUCAACGUGAAUUUUAUUAAUGUUUUAAUCUUACCGAUUGUCAAACUCAUUUUUAUCUUUAUGUAUCUUUUAUUAUCAAUCUGUAUUUUACUUUAACAUGAAGCACUUCAUUAUAAAAAAAUGACGUUUUUUUAUUUGAGUUCUUCAGUAAAGUUGAUCAUUCAAGGGGAUGCCACGUAACAAAAGACGUCAGUGUUCUAGAGAUAAUUUUUACUGAUGUUCAUGCAUGAAACAGCGAAUUUAAAUAGGGAAAAAUGCAGUUUAGGUAUUCUUGUGACAUUUAGCUUUUCUGCAUCUGAAAAAAUUGCACAUGGUUGAUCAGUCUACCAUGGAUAAUGCAGAUGGAUAUAAAAUGGGAUUCUGCAAUGACUGACGAAAAGAAAGAAACCGCAUUUGAGAUAACUGGAUGACUUUGAAACCAUUUUUCGAGAUUUUUAGAUAUUUUUUUUACUAGUUAGAGAUACCGCUUUGUCGCUCUUUUUAUGAAAUAAAGAAAAUUACUCAAAAA
Long non-coding RNA from Parasteatoda tepidariorum (common house spider), 822 nucleotides. NCBI's taxonomy places the organism in Eukaryota, Metazoa, Arthropoda, Arachnida, Araneae, Theridiidae. The record is from RefSeq and is a predicted model, not a curated record.